This 496-nucleotide ribosomal RNA is filed under the name uncultured bacterium. RNAcentral's name for it is "partial 16S ribosomal RNA". It matches the Rfam family "Bacterial small subunit ribosomal RNA", at positions 28 to 506 of the family's 1533-position model. The record is from RNAcentral.
GAUGAACGCUGGCGGCGUGCCUAAUACAUGCAAGUCGAGCGAACAGACGAGGAGCUUGCUCCUCUGACGUUAGCGGCGGACGGGUGAGUAACACGUGGAUAACCUACCUAUAAGACUGGGAUAACUUCGGGAAACCGGAGCUAAUACCGGAUAAUAUAUUGAACCGCAUGGUUCAAUAGUGAAAGACGGUUUUGCUGUCACUUAUAGAUGGAUCCGCGCCGCAUUAGCUAGUUGGUAAGGUAACGGCUUACCAAGGCAACGAUGCGUAGCCGACCUGAGAGGGUGAUCGGCCACACUGGACCUGAGACACGGUCCAGACUCCUACGGGAGGCAGCAGUAGGGAAUCUUCCGCAAUGGGCGAAAGCCUGACGGAGCAACGCCGCGUGAGUGAUGAAGGUCUUCGGAUCGUAAAACUCUGUUAUUGGGGAAGAACAAAUGUGUAAGUAACUAUGCACGUCUUGACGGUACCUAAUCAGAAAGCCACGGCUAACUACGU